Molecule: long non-coding RNA, 475 nt
Organism: Aegilops tauschii subsp. strangulata
Lineage: Eukaryota; Viridiplantae; Streptophyta; Magnoliopsida; Poales; Poaceae
Source: RefSeq, a predicted model, not a curated record
GUUCCCAUGCGCUGGCUGUUGCCUCUGCUGCGGAGAGGCCGCGCACGCCCCUUUCUUCCUUAAACAUCUUUCCUUCCUUGCUCCUUUUCUCUCUCCCGCUCUCCAUUCUCACUGUCCGUCAUUCACUUGCUUCACCACACCAGGUUUUGCUUUCUCUCCGACUCGAUGUGUCUGCCUGUUGUUCUUCUCCGUCCGUGUGCAUGCCCGUUGUGAUGGCGUCCCUGCGUGCGGUCGGUGCUGCUGGUUGAGCUGAAAUCCUCUCUGUGCUGUCUCCUGCGCUGGCCGGCGCGCCAUUUUGCCAUAUGCAUUUAGAUUGUUUGUCUGACAUUCCGCCUUCGUUUGCUCGCCGCUGUCCUGGUUAUUGUUCUUAAUCCUGGUUUGAAGACCUACUCUAUUUUUGCAUCUGCACCUGCGACUUCCCCCUUUUGUCAACUUUGCUUUUUCCACAAAGCGGCUAUAGUUAUGUGUUAUAGCA